Molecule: ribosomal RNA, 424 nt
Filed under: uncultured eukaryote
Lineage: Eukaryota
Description: SSU rRNA
Rfam family: Eukaryotic small subunit ribosomal RNA
Source: RNAcentral
CCAGCAGCCGCGGUAAUUCCAGCUCUACUAGCGUAUAUUAAAGUUGUUGCAGUUAAAAAGCUCGUAGUUGGAUUUCUGGCAUAACGAGCCGAGCCGGCCUCUUCGGAGGUCAGUGCUUGUGCUUGUUAGCCAUCCUGCCAGUUUUGGACCAUUUUCUGCUCUCUUCGGAGGGUUGGGAUUUGGGACCUGGCUCUAUUACUUUGAAAAAAUUAGAGUGUUUAAAGCAGGCAUUUUGCUCUGAAUACAUUAGCAUGGAAUAAUAAUUUAGGACUUGGGUUCUAUUUUGUUGGUUUCUAGGAUCUAAGUAAUGAUUGAUAGGGACAGUUGGGGGUGCUAGUACUCAGUGGCCAGAGGUGAAAUUCUUUGAUUCACUGAAGACUAACUUAUGCGAAAGCAUUCACCAAGGAUGUCUUCUUUAAUCAAG